Molecule: ribosomal RNA, 799 nt
Filed under: uncultured Staphylococcus sp.
Lineage: Bacteria; Bacillati; Bacillota; Bacilli; Caryophanales; Staphylococcaceae
Description: bacterial SSU rRNA
Rfam family: Bacterial small subunit ribosomal RNA
Source: RNAcentral
UAUAAGACUGGGAUAACUUCGGGAAACCGGAGCUAAUACCGGAUAACAUUUGGAACCGCAUGGUUCUAAAGUGAAAGAUGGUUUUGCUAUCACUUAUAGAUGGACCCGCGCCGUAUUAGCUAGUUGGUAAGGUAACGGCUUACCAAGGCGACGAUACGUAGCCGACCUGAGAGGGUGAUCGGCCACACUGGAACUGAGACACGGUCCAGACUCCUACGGGAGGCAGCAGUAGGGAAUCUUCCGCAAUGGGCGAAAGCCUGACGGAGCAACGCCGCGUGAGUGAUGAAGGGUUUCGGCUCGUAAAACUCUGUUAUUAGGGAAGAACAAAUGUGUAAGUAACUGUGCACAUCUUGACGGUACCUAAUCAGAAAGCCACGGCUAACUACGUGCCAGCAGCCGCGGUAAUACGUAGGUGGCAAGCGUUAUCCGGAAUUAUUGGGCGUAAAGCGCGCGUAGGCGGUUUCUUAAGUCUGAUGUGAAAGCCCACGGCUCAACCGUGGAGGGUCAUUGGAAACUGGGAAACUUGAGUGCAGAAGAGGAAAGUGGAAUUCCAUGUGUAGCGGUGAAAUGCGCAGAGAUAUGGAGGAACACCAGUGGCGAAGGCGACUUUCUGGUCUGUAACUGACGCUGAUGUGCGAAAGCGUGGGGAUCAAACAGGAUUAGAUACCCUGGUAGUCCACGCCGUAAACGAUGAGUGCUAAGUGUUAGGGGGUUUCCGCCCCUUAGUGCUGCAGCUAACGCAUUAAGCACUCCGCCUGGGGAGUACGACCGCAAGGUUGAAACUCAGAGAUCUUUCUAG